This 449-nucleotide unclassified non-coding RNA is filed under the name Hevea brasiliensis (rubber tree). The record is from RNAcentral. Lineage: Eukaryota; Viridiplantae; Streptophyta; Magnoliopsida; Malpighiales; Euphorbiaceae.
CAAGAGAGUUCGGUCUCUUAUCCCCUCCUCUUUUUUUGCUUAUACCUGUUAUCUUUAUCAUCGUCAAGCACAUUAGUUCUCUAUCUUCAAAGCGGCGGCCUCUUCCUCCGGGUCCGAGGCCAUGGCCUAUCGUAGGCAACAUUUUCCUUCUUGAGAAAAAGCUACACAUCCCAAUGACACGCUUUGCCAAAGUUCAUGGCCCUCUGAUUUCAUUGAGGCUCGGUACGCAAGUCGUUGUUGUUGGCUCUUCCCCUGCUGCAGCUCUCCUGCUGCAGCAACUGAAAUUCUGAAAAAUCACGAUCGUUUGCUUUCUGCCAGAUGGCAAAGUAAAGUGAUUCCCCGGAAAAGCCAUGAACUUGAACGUAUAUCGGUUAUUUGGAACCCCACAUGCAAUGACCAGUGGAGGUCCUUACGAGCCUUGUUCAGGACUGAGCUUUUCUCCGCCAAAG